Molecule: ribosomal RNA, 478 nt
Filed under: uncultured bacterium
Lineage: Bacteria
Description: partial 16S ribosomal RNA
Rfam family: Bacterial small subunit ribosomal RNA
Source: RNAcentral
GACGAACGCUGGCGGCGUGCUUAACACAUGCAAGUCGAACGGUAAGGCCCUUCGGGGUACACGAGUGGCGAACGGGUGAGUAACACGUGGGUGAUCUGCCCUGCACUUCGGGAUAAGCCUGGGAAACUGGGUCUAAUACCGGAUAGGACCACUGCAUGCAUGGGCGGUGGUGGAAAGCUUUUGCGGUGUGGGAUGGGCCCGCGGCCUAUCAGCUUGUUGGUGGGGUGAUGGCCUACCAAGGCGACGACGGGUAGCCGGCCUGAGAGGGUGACCGGCCACACUGGGACUGAGAUACGGCCCAGACUCCUACGGGAGGCAGCAGUGGGGAAUAUUGCACAAUGGGCGCAAGCCUGAUGCAGCGACGCCGCGUGAGGGAUGACGGCCUUCGGGUUGUAAACCUCUUUCAGCACCGACGAAGCGCAAGUGACGGUAGGUGCAGAAGAAGGACCGGCCAACUACGUGCCAGCAGCCGCAGUAA